GAUCCUGGCUCAGAUUGAACGCUGGCGGCAUGCUUUACACAUGCAAGUCGAACGGUAACAGGGAGCUUGCUCCGCUGACGAGUGGCGAACGGGUGAGUAAUAUAUCGGAACGUACCCAAGAGUGGGGGAUAACGUAGCGAAAGUUACGCUAAUACCGCAUACGAUCUAUGGAUGAAAGCAGGGGACCUUCGGGCCUUGUGCUCCUGGAGCGGCCGAUAUCUGAUUAGCUAGUUGGUGAGG
RNAcentral lists this ribosomal RNA (240 nucleotides) under uncultured bacterium. RNAcentral describes it as "partial 16S ribosomal RNA". It matches the Rfam family "Bacterial small subunit ribosomal RNA", at positions 15 to 257 of the family's 1533-position model. The record is from RNAcentral.